This 253-nucleotide ribosomal RNA is filed under the name uncultured bacterium. RNAcentral's name for it is "partial 16S ribosomal RNA". It matches the Rfam family "Bacterial small subunit ribosomal RNA", at positions 524 to 776 of the family's 1533-position model. The record is from RNAcentral.
UACGUAGGUGGCAAGCGUUGUCCGGAUUUAUUGGGUUUAAAGGGUGCGUAGGCGGCUUAUUAAGUCAGUGGUGAAAUACUCUAGCUCAACUGGAGGGGUGCCAUUGAUACUGAUGAGCUUGAGUACAGAUGAGGUAGGCGGAAUUGACGGUGUAGCGGUGAAAUGCUUAGAUAUCGUCAAGAACACCUAUAGCGAAGGCAGCUUACUAGGCUGUAACUGACGCUGAGGCACGAAAGUGUGGGGAUCAAACAGG